ACAAGGUCGUGACUUUUGCAGAAUAAAUACAGUUUUUCGUCUAUGCGUUCUGACGGACAUUUCUUUUACGUAUCGAAGAAAAAAACUAACAAUGGCAUGGAACCCCGUCUGUGUUGUGUUUUGUGCGCUGUCAGUCUUCAGCAUAAGUACAGCGUUAAAACCACGCCCACCGUCUGUGUCGUCGCUGACUAGCCAGGACUUUUUUAACGAUUAUAUCGCAGCUGAAUGUGUUGUGACGGGAUAUCCACUUCCAAG
Molecule: long non-coding RNA, 255 nt
Organism: Liolophura sinensis
Lineage: Eukaryota; Metazoa; Mollusca; Polyplacophora; Chitonida; Chitonidae
Exons: 3
Source: RefSeq, a predicted model, not a curated record